RNAcentral lists this ribosomal RNA (1311 nucleotides) under uncultured archaeon. RNAcentral describes it as "bacterial SSU rRNA". It matches the Rfam family "Archaeal small subunit ribosomal RNA", at positions 21 to 1337 of the family's 1478-position model. The record is from RNAcentral.
AGGCUACUGCUAUUGGAAUUCGACUAAGCCAUGCGAGUCAAGGUGUCUUCGGACGCCGGCAAACGGCUCAGUAACACGUAGGUAAUCUACCCUCAGGACUGAGAUAACCCCGGGAAACUGGGGCUAAUACCAGAUAGAUAAAAGAUACUGGAAUGUUCUUUUAUCCAAAGCUUUUGUGCCUGAGAAUGAGCCUGCGCCCGAUUAGGUAGUUGGUGGGGUAAUGGCCCACCAAGCCUGCGAUCGGUACGGGCAGUGGGAGCUGUAGCCCGGAGUUGGGGACUGAGACAAGGCCCCAGGCCCUACGGGGCGCAGCAGGCGCGAAACCUCUGCAAUGCGGGAAACCGUGACAGGGGGAUUCCAAGUGCUCAUGCAUUGCAUGGGCUGUUCUUUGGUCUAAGUAACCAGAGGAGUAAGGGCUGGGCGAGACCGGUGCCAGCCGCCGCGGUAAUACCGGCAGCUCGAGUGGUAGCCGCGAUUAUUGGGCCUAAAACGUUCGUAGCCGGAUAAGUAAGUCUUUGGUUAAAUCCUACGACUUAACCGUGGGAAAUCUAGAGAUACUGCUUGUCUUGAGACCGGGAGAGGUUGGAGGUACUCCCAGGGUAGGGGUGAAAUCCUGUAAUCCUGGGGGGACCACCUGUGGCGAAGGCGUCCAACUGGAACGGCUCUGACGGUGAGGGACGAAACCUAGGGGAGCGAGCCGGAUUAGAUACCCGGGUAGUCCUAGCCGUAAACGAUACUCGCUAGGUGUCGGCCACGGUGCGACCGUUGUCGGUGCCGUAGGGAAGCCGUGAAGCGAGCCACCUGGGAAGUACGGCCGCAAGGCUGAAACUUAAAGGAAUUGGCGGGGGAGCACCACAACGGGUGGAGCUUGCGGUUUAAUUGGAUUCAACGCCGGAAAUCUUACCGGGACCGACAGCAAUAUGAAGGCCAGGCUGAAGACUUUGCCGGAUUAGCUGAGAGGUGGUGCAUGGCCGUCGUCAGUUCGUACUGUGAAGCAUCCUGUUAAGUCAGGCAACGAGCGAGACCCACGCCCACAGUUGCCAGCGUACUCUCUGGAGUGACGGGUACGCUGUGGGGACCGCCGCUGCUAAAGCGGAGGAAGGAAUGGGCAACGGUAGGUCAGUAUGCCCCGAAUAUCCCGGGCUACACGCGAGCUACAAUGGUUGGUACAAUGGGUAUCUACCCCGAAAGGGGACGGGAAUCUCCUAAAACCAAUCUUAGUUCGGAUUGAGGGCUGCAACUCGCCCUCAUGAAGCUGGAAUCCGUAGUAAUCGCGUUUCAACAGAACGCGGUGAAUACGUCCCUGCUCCU